UACAGAGGGUGCAAGCGUUGUUCGGAAUUAUUGGGCGUAAAGCGCGUGUAGGCGGCCAGACAAGUUGGGUGUGAAAGCCCUCGGCUUAACCGAGGAAGUGCGCCCAAAACUAUCUGGCUUGAGUACCGGAGAGGAUGGUGGAAUUCCCGGUGUAGAGGUGAAAUUCGUAGAUAUCGGGAGGAACACCUGCGGCGAAGGCGACCAUCUGGACGGAUACUGACGCUGAGACGCGAAAGCGUGGGGAGCAAACAGG
Molecule: ribosomal RNA, 253 nt
Filed under: uncultured bacterium
Lineage: Bacteria
Description: partial 16S ribosomal RNA
Rfam family: Bacterial small subunit ribosomal RNA
Source: RNAcentral